This 459-nucleotide ribosomal RNA is filed under the name uncultured bacterium. RNAcentral describes it as "partial 16S ribosomal RNA". It matches the Rfam family "Bacterial small subunit ribosomal RNA", at positions 338 to 795 of the family's 1533-position model. The record is from RNAcentral.
CCUACGGGUGGCAGCAGUGAGGAAUAUUGGUCAAUGGCCGAGAGGCUGAACCAGCCAAGUCGCGUGAGGGAAGACGGCCCUACGGGUCGUAAACCUCUUUUGUCGGGGAGCAAAGCGAGUCACGUGUGACGCAUUGAGAGUACCCGAAGAAAAAGCAUCGGCUAACUCCGUGCCAGCAGCCGCGGUAAUACGGAGGAUGCGAGCGGUAUCCGGAUUUAUUGGGUUUAAAGGGUGCGCAGGCGGAGGUGCAAGUCAGCGGUCAAAUUGCGGGGCUCAACCCCGUACUGCCGUGGAAACGGCAUCCCUUGAGUGCGCGAGAAGUAUGCGGAAUGCGUGGUGUAGCGGUGAAAGGCAUAGAUAUCACGCAGAACUCCGAUUGCGAAGGCAGCAUACCGGCGCGCAACUGACGCUCAUGCACGAAAGCGUGGGUAUCGAACAGGAUUAGAUACCCGAGUAGUC